This 293-nucleotide signal recognition particle RNA is filed under the name Cebus imitator (Panamanian white-faced capuchin). Its description in RNAcentral is "Metazoan signal recognition particle RNA (ENSCCAG00000002941.1)". It matches the Rfam family "Metazoan signal recognition particle RNA". From Rfam's summary of the family: The signal recognition particle (SRP) is a universally conserved ribonucleoprotein. It is involved in the co-translational targeting of proteins to membranes. Lineage: Eukaryota; Metazoa; Chordata; Mammalia; Primates; Cebidae. The record is from RNAcentral.
GCCAGGCGCAGUGGUGUGUGCCUGUAGUCCCAGCUACUUGAGAGGCUGAGGCUGGAGGAUCGCUUGAGUCCAGGAGUUCUGGGCUGUAAUGCGCUAUGCCAAUUGGGUGUCUGCACUAAGUUCAGCAUCAAUAUGAUGACCUCCUGGGAGUGGGGGACCACCAGGUUGCCUAAGGAGGGGUAAACCGGCCCAGGUUGGAAAUGGAGGAGGUCAAAACUCCUGGGCUUAUCAGUAGUGGGAUCUCGCCUGUGAAUAGCCACUGCACUACAGCCUGAGCAACAUAGCGAGACCCU